CUGGGGACCCCCAGUUUUGGCCCUGGGGACCCCCAGGGGCUCACGUCCCCAUCUCUCCCGCAGGGACCGAGGGGCGAGCGGGGGCUCCCGGGCAGCUCUGGUGAGAAGGGCGACCAGGGUUUCCAGGGCCAGCCCGGCUUCCCGGGGCCGCCUGGCCCCCCCGGCUUCCCGGGGAAGGUCGGCCCGGCCGGGCCCCCGGGACCUGCGGCCGAGAAGGUGAGUGCAUGGGGACGGGGACAGCGGUGGCACCGCUGGCUGGGGUCAGCUCGGGCCCCCCCCGACCCUCCUGUGGC
This 293-nucleotide long non-coding RNA is filed under the name Anser cygnoides (Swan goose). RNAcentral's name for it is "lncRNA (ENSACDG00005012939.1)". Lineage: Eukaryota; Metazoa; Chordata; Aves; Anseriformes; Anatidae. The record is from RNAcentral.